GAUGAAGAACGUAGCGAAAUGCGAUAAGUAGUGUGAAUUGCAGAAUUCAGUGAAUCAUCGAAUCUUUGAACGCACAUUGCGCCCCUUGGUAUUCCAUUGGGCAUGCCUGUUCGAGCGUCAUUUGUACCUUCAAGCUCUGCUUGGUGUUGGGUGUUUGUCUCGCCUCUGCGUGUAGACUCGCCUCAAAACAAUUGGCAGCCGGCGUAUUGAUUUCGGAGCGCAGUACAUCUCGCGCUUUGCACUCAUAACGACGACGUCCAAAAGUACAUUUUUACACUCUUGACCUCGGAUCAGGUAGGGAUACCCGCUGAACUUAAGCAUAUCAAUAAGCGGAGGA
Molecule: unclassified non-coding RNA, 337 nt
Filed under: soil metagenome
Description: partial contains 5.8S ribosomal RNA, internal transcribed spacer 2, and large subunit ribosomal RNA
Rfam family: 5.8S ribosomal RNA (bases 1-120)
Source: RNAcentral